UUUUACAGUAUUUUAGUGUUGCUGUAUCCUUGCUGUAGCCUGACUGUAAUACACCAGGCAAUAAAUCAGGAUUGCUGUAAAUAGCGCGCCACCUGAUGUCACAUCACAGACAACACAGCUGCUGCUGACCGGAGAGAGAAGCAGAACGGAGGAUUUAUACAAGUUCGCUCUACAGUAUGGUCCACUUGUGUUUGCUCCUGGGAAAGGCACUGCUGUCACAAGACAGUUUUUUUUUUCACCACUGAUGGGAAGAAAUGUACUAGUAGACAGGGAGUGAGCAGAAGAUCAGGACGGUGGUGCAGAGUGAUGGCCAUCAGUCCUGCAUGUCAACCACUUCAUUCAGUCCAAAAUGAUGUUUAAAUGGAGGACUUCACAGAGAUGGUCAGUGGCCUCUUUGCCACCACCCACAUGCCCUACAUUUAGGGGUGACAUUACAUGUUGUGAGACACUACUUGUUGUUUUUGCUCAUUUUUAACAUAGCUUUAAUAUAAAUCAAGUUCUCUCUUAGGACAGUGAUUCCCAAUCCAGUUCUCAAGAUGCAUGUGUUUGUUUCAUUUAUAUUCUUGCACACUUAAAAUGCUUUAAUGGCUGUAAAUUGUCAAUGCACUGUACUCUGGGUAGCAAACACAGUACUGAAAUAUUUUGAAAUGUUUUAAUAAAAAUACAUAUGUAAAUAUGUUUGGAUUACCUUUUGAUUUGUAAUGUUAUUCUGAAGUAUAGUAGUAUCACAAUUUUACUAACUAUAUGUAUGUAUUAUACCAACU
Molecule: long non-coding RNA, 764 nt
Organism: Cyprinus carpio (common carp)
Lineage: Eukaryota; Metazoa; Chordata; Actinopteri; Cypriniformes; Cyprinidae
Exons: 3
Source: RefSeq, a predicted model, not a curated record